GUCCACGCCGUAAACGAUGCGCACUAGGUACGAGGGCUCUGACUGCUCUCGUGCCGAAGCAAAAGUGUUAAGUGCGCCGCCUGGGGAGUACGGCCGCAAGGCUAAAACUCAAAGGAAUUGACGGGGUCUCACACAAGCGGUGGAGCAUGUGGAUUAAUUCGAAGCAACGCGAAGAACCUUACCUGGGUUAGAAAACGCGGAUGCCCUUCCCGAAAGGGGAGUAGGCUGCCUUCGGGUGAAACGCGGUUCAGGUGCUGCAUGGCUGUCGU
This 269-nucleotide ribosomal RNA is filed under the name uncultured bacterium. Its description in RNAcentral is "partial 16S ribosomal RNA". It matches the Rfam family "Bacterial small subunit ribosomal RNA", at positions 793 to 1055 of the family's 1533-position model. The record is from RNAcentral.